UCGUUCAAACUUUCAACAACGGAUCUCUUGGUUCUGGCAUCGAUGAAGAACGCAGCGAACUGCGAUAAGUAAUGCGAAUUGCAGAAUUCAGCGAGCCAUCGAAUCUUUGAACGCACAUUGCGCCCGCCAGCAUUCUGGCGGGCAUGCCUGUCCGAGCGUCAUUUCCUCCCUCACGC
This 176-nucleotide ribosomal RNA is filed under the name Leptographium europhioides. RNAcentral describes it as "Grosmannia europhioides 5.8S ribosomal RNA". The stretch from base 8 to 161 matches the Rfam family "5.8S ribosomal RNA". Rfam says of the family: 5.8S ribosomal RNA (5.8S rRNA) is a component of the large subunit of the eukaryotic ribosome. The record is from RNAcentral. Lineage: Eukaryota; Fungi; Ascomycota; Sordariomycetes; Ophiostomatales; Ophiostomataceae.